RNAcentral lists this ribosomal RNA (200 nucleotides) under uncultured bacterium. Its description in RNAcentral is "partial 16S ribosomal RNA". It matches the Rfam family "Bacterial small subunit ribosomal RNA", at positions 328 to 539 of the family's 1533-position model. The record is from RNAcentral.
ACGCUCGACACCUACGGGAGGCAGCAGUGGGGAAUAUUGCACAAUGGGGGAAACCCUGAUGCAGCGACGCCGCGUGAGCGAAGAAGUAUUUCGGUAUGUAAAGCUCUAUCAGCAGGGAANAAAAUGACGGUACCUGACUAAGAACGCCCCGGCUAACUACGUGUCAGCAGCCGCGGUAAUCUGAGGCGGGCUGGCAAGGC